GCAGUCUCAAGGCCGCGAGGCUCGUCACACACAGGAACUCUCUCCGUUUGAGAUCCACCUUCACGAGCGGGCUAAGGUCUGAGUAUUACAAUCUCCUUCGCAUGCCCUCGCUGGGCACGACGCUAACGCGUCGGGCAACGAAUCAGAAAAACGUACACCAUCCACUCCAUCGCCCAAGAUCGGCUGGUAUCCGCUGGGACCUUUCACAGGUCACGGUGUAUGUGGUCGGGAGGCUCGUGGAUUCGUGGGCUUGGAAGUCGUUGUGGGGUUCGGGGACGCUGUUGGAUCUCGCAUACACAGGUGCACACCCUCGAGGAGCAUUAUGAUUUGCAGCGAAGGACGACGCGUGCCCCUUGAGUGCAAUUCGCGGCGGGCGUCGAGGACUCGUACCGAGGCGCCCAACUCGAUUCAGACUACUCUUUGGCUGC
This 428-nucleotide RNase P RNA is filed under the name Coniophora puteana RWD-64-598 SS2. RNAcentral describes it as "Nuclear RNase P". It matches the Rfam family "Nuclear RNase P". Rfam says of the family: Ribonuclease P (RNase P) is a ubiquitous endoribonuclease, found in archaea, bacteria and eukarya as well as chloroplasts and mitochondria. Its best characterised activity is the generation of mature 5'-ends of tRNAs by cleaving the 5'-leader elements of precursor-tRNAs. The record is from Rfam by way of RNAcentral. Lineage: Eukaryota; Fungi; Basidiomycota; Agaricomycetes; Boletales; Coniophoraceae.